RNAcentral lists this ribosomal RNA (229 nucleotides) under uncultured bacterium. RNAcentral's name for it is "partial 16S ribosomal RNA". It matches the Rfam family "Bacterial small subunit ribosomal RNA", at positions 568 to 796 of the family's 1533-position model. The record is from RNAcentral.
UACGUAGGCGGCUUGGUAUGUCGGAUGUGAAAGCCCGGGGCUCAACCCCGGAAGUGCAUCCGAAACUGCCGAGCUAGAGUACAGGAUGGGAGAGCGGAAUUCAUGGUGUAGCGGUGAAAUGCGUUGAUAUCAUGAAGAACACCGGUGGCGAAGGCGGCUCUCUGGAAUGUAACUGACGCUGAGGUACGAAAGCGUGGGUAGCAAACAGGAUUAGAUACCCUGGUAGUCC